AGCCAUCUCAGCGCCUCUGGAACUUUGCACACAAACUGACACUUCUCACUGACCUUCAAAGUUGAUUGCCCUUUCAUUCGUCCAUUCUUACCAUAAAAGUUCAACCAAAUUUGUGUAGCUCCUGUAAUAUUUUAGAUUGCAGCAUUUUCUUUACGUUCUUCGAGAUUGUUUUGGUCUGACAAAGCAAGACUUUAGUCCCAAAGUCAUUUUCAUUUUCCAUGGCAAGUUCCAUAUUACACUCUCUAACCUGAGGUUGUAAAAUGCCUGUAGUCAAAGUCCCUCUUUGCGCUCUGGGCGCUGGCUGUCUGCUCAGGAUUUGAGCACUCGCCGGCUGUUCAAAGGCUGGAUAGUGCUAUCCAACGGAGGAUAAGUGCAAUGGCGGAUCCAGACCUUGAGCUAAGGUGGGGGGCCCGGUUUAUUUUUGCUUGCCCUACUGGCUUUUCUUCCUUUUGUGAUUUUUUUCUUUUUUACCCAAAAUCAUGGGGGGCCGGACCCCCCGGGCUUCUCCCCUAGAUCCACCACUGAAGUUUUAACAAAACAAACCACGCCAUCCACUAGAUAGUGAUUUAUCCAGAGAAUAGUGUUAUCCAUCUUUCCAACAACUGGGGCCAGAGCUUUAAGGAUGGCUUGAUGCAAGAGACUCUAGAGACUAUGAUCAGGGACAUGGGUACGGGGGUCCUGGUGUGCCUGUGACCCCGCCUUUUGUAAGCCUUUCUUAAGCAAACUACCUACAACAGGUGGCAAAAACGACAUGCCAAUCUGGUGAGUAUCCUCACUUUGACAUAGUGUGACCCCCCUUUGAAAAAUCCUGGCUAUGCCCCACAUGAUCGUAUAGUCUCUUGCUUGAUGCUAAUGCUUUUAUUACUGCUUUGUUUCCAUCCUAUCAAGCAAGGAGGCUCCAAGUAUUGCUCUCAGUUUUAAACGAAACUAAAAUAGCCUCAGUUUUCACUUAAAUCCAUAUCUGCCACGCUUAAUUUUAUUACUAUUAUUAUUCACAGAUGGUGUGAAAUUUGACAUCAGAGAAUUAGUUCAAAAGGCGCCGGAUAUCGAUAGAAAAGCUAUUCUUGAUCAAUUAAUAUCCUGUUUGAAAAUGAUGAUAAAUGACACUUCAGUGGCAAAUGCAUCAUCAUCUGACGGACUUUCAAGAACAACACAACCAGAUACCACGCAAACAACGACCAAUCAAAGUGUAUCAGGAAAUGAAAACAAUACGCCUGCAGAAGGUACACAAGAAAAUG
Long non-coding RNA from Orbicella faveolata, 1238 nucleotides. NCBI's taxonomy places the organism in Eukaryota, Metazoa, Cnidaria, Anthozoa, Scleractinia, Merulinidae. The record is from RefSeq and is a predicted model, not a curated record.